UACGGCUCAGUAACACGUGGAUAACCUGCCCUUGGGACCGGCAUAACCCCGGGAAACUGGGGAUAAUUCCGGAUAACGCAUAUGUGCUGGAAUGCUUUAUGCGUAAAAUGGAUUCGUCUGCCCAAGGAUGGGUCUGCGGCCUAUCAGGUAGUAGUGGGUGUAAUGUACCUACUAGCCGACAACGGGUACGGGUUGUGAGAGCAAGAGCCCGGAGAUGGAUUCUGAGACAUGAAUCCAGGCCCUACGGGGCGCAGCAGGCGCGAAAACUUUACAAUGCGGGAAACCGUGAUAAGGGGACACCGAGUGCCAGCAUCAUAUGCUGGCUGUCCGGGUGUGUAAAAUACACCUGUUAGCAAGGGCCGGGCAAGACCGGUGCCAGCCGCCGCGGUAACACCGGCGGCCCGAGUGGUGAUCGUGAUUAUUGGGUCUAAAGGGUCCGUAGCCGGUUUGGUCAGUCCUCCGGGAAAUCUGAUAGCUCAACUAUUAGGCUUUCGGGGGAUACUGCCAGACUUGGAACCGGGAGAGGUAAGAGGUACUACAGGGGUAGGAGUGAAAUCUUGUAAUCCCUGUGGGACCACCUGUGGCGAAGGCGUCUUACCAGAACGGGUUCGACGGUGAGGGACGAAAGCUGGGGGCACGAACCGGAUUAGAUACCCGGGUAGUCCCAGCCGUAAACGAUGCUCGCUAGGUGUCAGGCAUGGCGCGACCGUGUCUGGUGCCGCAGGGAAGCCGUGAAGCGAGCCACCUGGGAAGUACGGCCGCAAGGCUGAAACUUAAAGGAAUUGGCGGGGGAGCACA
RNAcentral lists this ribosomal RNA (798 nucleotides) under uncultured archaeon. RNAcentral's name for it is "bacterial SSU rRNA". It matches the Rfam family "Archaeal small subunit ribosomal RNA", at positions 84 to 880 of the family's 1478-position model. The record is from RNAcentral.